RNAcentral lists this long non-coding RNA (354 nucleotides) under Setaria viridis. RNAcentral describes it as "long non-coding RNA (SVIR_LNC001180)". The record is from RNAcentral. Lineage: Eukaryota; Viridiplantae; Streptophyta; Magnoliopsida; Poales; Poaceae.
UGGAUGAUGAAUUGAUGAUGUAUGUGCCAAGCAAAGAUAGGCAAUUUUAUUUCUGGAGUUUUGAGUCAUGUUACUUGACUAUGGUUAUUACAAGGUGGAACAGUGGAAAAUGAGGUGGAUAGUUAAUAAUGCAGUUGGCGUUUGCUGGUUUGGUCAGUCAGUUGCAUGUUCAUUGUGGGGAAAUUAGUUCUUCCACUAGCUGAUGCUAUUUUCAAAAUUUGUGUAUUUCUGUAGCAUUGGAAGCAGCACCUAGAGUUGAGAGACCAAGAGCAGAUGCUUCAAGUGCUUGAUAAGCACAAAGUUCAGGUGCUCAAUUGUGGAGUUCUUUGUCAGGGGAAAUUGGACUUCUUCUUC